UACGUAGGGUGCAAGCGUUGUCCGGAAUUAUUGGGCGUAAAGAGCGUGUAGGCGGCCAGGUAGGUCAGCUGUGAAAACUCGAGGCUCAACUUCGAGCUGUCGGUGGAAACUAUCUGGCUAGAGUCCGGAAGAGGAGAAUGGAAUUCCUGGUGUAGCGGUGAAAUGCGCAGAUAUCAGGAAGAACACCCGUGGCGAAGGCGGUUCUCUGGGACGGUACUGACGCUGAGACGCGAAAGCGUGGGGAGCGAACAGG
This 253-nucleotide ribosomal RNA is filed under the name uncultured bacterium. RNAcentral describes it as "partial 16S ribosomal RNA". It matches the Rfam family "Bacterial small subunit ribosomal RNA", at positions 524 to 776 of the family's 1533-position model. The record is from RNAcentral.